GACGAACGCUGGCGGCGUGCUUAACACAUGCAAGUCGAGCGGUAAGGCCCUUUCGGGGGUACGACGAGCGGCGAACGGGUGAGUAACACGUGGGUGACCUGCCCUCCAGCUCUGGGAGUAAGACCUCGGGAAACCGGGGUACUAAUACCGGAUAUGACUCCAUGACGCAUGUUGUGGGGUGGAAAGCCUUGUGCGGCUGAGGAUGGGCCCGCGGCCUAUCAGCUUGUUGGUGGGGUGAUGGCCUACCAAGGCGACGACGGGUAGCCGGCCUGAGAGGGCGACCGGCCACACUGGGGACUGAGACACGGCCCAGACUCCUACGGGAGGCAGCAGUGGGGAAUCUUGCGCAAUGGGCGAAAGCCUGACGCAGCGACGCCGCGUGAGGGAUGACGGCC
This 395-nucleotide ribosomal RNA is filed under the name uncultured bacterium. Its description in RNAcentral is "bacterial SSU rRNA". It matches the Rfam family "Bacterial small subunit ribosomal RNA", at positions 28 to 416 of the family's 1533-position model. The record is from RNAcentral.